This 138-nucleotide small nuclear RNA is filed under the name Heterocephalus glaber (naked mole-rat). RNAcentral's name for it is "U4 spliceosomal RNA". It matches the Rfam family "U4 spliceosomal RNA". From Rfam's summary of the family: U4 small nuclear RNA (U4 snRNA) is a component of the major U2-dependent spliceosome. The structure of U4 snRNA from yeast and human has been reported. U4 snRNA presents a k-turn RNA motif in the 5p-SL related to recognition of Snu13 protein. The record is from Rfam by way of RNAcentral. Lineage: Eukaryota; Metazoa; Chordata; Mammalia; Rodentia; Bathyergidae.
AGCUUUGCACAGUGGCAGUAUCAUAGCCAAUGAGGUUUAUCCAAGGUGCAAUUAUUGCUGAUUAUUGAUAAAUUGAACUCAAUCCCAUCUCAUCUAGCUUAUUUUAUUUUGGAGGAAAAUCAACCAUUAUAAAUAUGG